Molecule: ribosomal RNA, 208 nt
Filed under: uncultured bacterium
Lineage: Bacteria
Description: partial 16S ribosomal RNA
Rfam family: Bacterial small subunit ribosomal RNA
Source: RNAcentral
CGCGUAGGCGGGUCAGCAAGUCCGCUGUGAAAGCCCGAGGCUUAACCUCGGCGGGUCGGUGGAUACUGUUGGUCUUGAAGGUGCUAGGGGGAGAUGGAAUGACCGGUGUAGCGGUGAAAUGCGUAGAUAUCGGUCGGAACACCAGUGGCGAAGGCGGUCUCCUGGGGCAUUCUUGACGCUGAGGCGCGAAAGCUGGGGGAGGCGAACG